UGGAGAAAUGCAGAAACUCAACAGUGACUGCAAUCCUUAUGACAUUCCUGACCGGGUUCAAGCCGAGACACAAGAAGAAAUGGCAGAUAAACAACCCAGCACAACCUACUGCACAGUAGGACAACAC
Molecule: long non-coding RNA, 127 nt
Organism: Carassius auratus (goldfish)
Lineage: Eukaryota; Metazoa; Chordata; Actinopteri; Cypriniformes; Cyprinidae
Exons: 2
Source: RefSeq, a predicted model, not a curated record